Molecule: ribosomal RNA, 253 nt
Filed under: uncultured bacterium
Lineage: Bacteria
Description: partial 16S ribosomal RNA
Rfam family: Bacterial small subunit ribosomal RNA
Source: RNAcentral
UACGGAGGGUGCGAGCGUUGUCCGGAAUCACUGGGCGUAAAGGGCGCGUAGGUGGCUUCUCAAGCGCGCGGUGAAAGCCCGGGGCUCAACCCCGGGUCGGCCGUGCGGACUGGGAGGCUCGAGCACUGUAGGGGCGGGUGGAAUUCCGGGUGUAGCGGUGGAAUGCGUAGAUAUUCGGAGGAACACCAGUGGCGAAGGCGGCUCACUGGUCCGGUACUGACGCUGAGGUGCGAAAGCGUGGGGAGCAAACAGG